This is a long non-coding RNA of Gossypium raimondii (Peruvian cotton), 886 nucleotides long. RefSeq lists it as uncharacterized. The transcript is spliced from 4 exons. NCBI's taxonomy places the organism in Eukaryota, Viridiplantae, Streptophyta, Magnoliopsida, Malvales, Malvaceae. The record is from RefSeq and is a predicted model, not a curated record.
UUUGUCAAACACCAAAUUAAAGCUUUUCUCCCGAAAUUAGCUCAUCUUUUUUAUUUUUUUUAUUUCUAAGCUCUCCAAACAUAGAAUCUCUUUUCAAUUUUGAAGAUUAAUCACGUUUUCAUCCUCAAAUCCUCAAGAGGUCUUCACACGUUUUAGCUCGAUUUAGCUCCAUAGCUCGUCGAUUAUGUGAAAUUGAGUAAUGGAGUCUCUACAAGCAUGGACAAAGGCACAUAAAAGCUUAUUUGAGCAUUGUAGAUGAAGUAAGACCUAAGUGAUUUAGCUUGUGAAGAGGUGGGGAAGUGAGCCAUCCAAGUGAUCCAUAACGAGGCUAUACCUAGGUGACUAUUUAGUUGGAAUCAAUUAUGUACAAGGGAUGUUACAAAGUAAUAAAUGCGACUAUUAAGCUGGAAUUGGUUACAUACAAGGGGCUGUUACAACAACAAAAGGAGAGCAAUAUGCAUCAUUAAAAUUCGACAGCCUCUCUAUCUUCUCCAAGGAGCUGUUCAAGAAUAGCAAUGGACAAAGGAGUGAUUACAAAUUCCAUAACCGAUUGCCUCUUUAAGAACACUUCAUGGUCUGUUUAUGUGCCCAAAAAUACCAUGAAUGUUGUUGGUGUCUAUUCGGCUAUCCAAGGGAGAAUUUAAAGCUUAUCCUAAACUCUUUGGCUACUUAAGAAUGAAACCUAAGCAUUCAAGCUUAUUAAAUUAGCUGAAUUAGAACAUUAAAUCUUAUUGAUAGUUGCUUUUACUUAGGCCUAGAAUUUCAAGAGUUUGAGCUUAAUGAUUAAGUUUUAUUUUAGCUCAUUAUUAGCUCAUUUAAGCUAAACAAUUGUGACUUUUUGGCUAGGCCUUAUCUAGUACUAUAAAUACUUGUAAUAAGCUCAUUG